Phalacrocorax carbo (great cormorant) is the source of this 402-nucleotide non-coding RNA. Lineage: Eukaryota; Metazoa; Chordata; Aves; Suliformes; Phalacrocoracidae. The record is from RefSeq and is a predicted model, not a curated record.
CCAACGCCGGCGGCUCCUGCAGUCCCUCUGCUGUGAGGUGGAGGCGCGCGGCCUUUCCCGCCGCUUCUGGCCCGCGAGCCGUUCGUGGGCGGCUACUUUAAAGACGCGCUCGCGCCUGCGGAGCUGCCCCGCCGUUAAGCGAGAAGGAGUCACACGGCUGAACUGGUGGAGAAGAGGUGGUAUCGUGUGGAACGGCGUGCUAAGGCAGCCAGUGGAAAAGAAAGAAAAGGCAUCAUGUGGAACUGCAAGGCAAGAGUGAGCCAGAAGAGAUACUGACGGUAAGUACCUAAAGGGUGCUCAAGAAGUUGGGAGGGGACACAACCAGGACAGCUGAUCCAAGCUCACCAAAUGGAUAUCCCACGCUAUACAACAUCAUGCUCAGCGGAGACAAAGACAAAAAAU